Molecule: ribosomal RNA, 253 nt
Filed under: uncultured Devosia sp.
Lineage: Bacteria; Pseudomonadati; Pseudomonadota; Alphaproteobacteria; Hyphomicrobiales; Devosiaceae
Description: partial 16S ribosomal RNA
Rfam family: Bacterial small subunit ribosomal RNA
Source: RNAcentral
UACGGAGGGUGCAAGCGUUAAUCGGAAUUACUGGGCGUAAAGCGCACGUAGGCGGAUUGGUCAGUUAGAGGUGAAAUCCCAGAGCUCAACUCUGGAACUGCCUUUAAUACUGCCAGUCUCGAGUCCGGAAGAGGUGAGUGGAACUCCUAGUGUAGAGGUGGAAUUCGUAGAUAUUAGGAAGAACACCAGUGGCGAAGGCGGCUCACUGGUCCGGUACUGACGCUGAGGUGCGAAAGCGUGGGGAGCAAACAGG